GCCCCCGUAGCUUAAUUGGAGAGAGCUCCGGUUUCCUCCUGCCCGCCAAGCCUUAAGUGGCUAGCGAUGGCAGGCGGGAAUCCGCGGGUUACGGGUUCGAUUCCCGUCGGGGGUU
This 115-nucleotide transfer RNA is filed under the name candidate division WWE3 bacterium. RNAcentral describes it as "tRNA-OTHER". It matches the Rfam family "tRNA". From Rfam's summary of the family: Transfer RNA (tRNA) molecules are approximately 80 nucleotides in length. Their secondary structure includes four short double-helical elements and three loops (D, anti-codon, and T loops). Lineage: Bacteria; candidate division WWE3. The record is from RNAcentral.